Molecule: long non-coding RNA, 317 nt
Organism: Ahaetulla prasina
Lineage: Eukaryota; Metazoa; Chordata; Lepidosauria; Squamata; Colubridae
Exons: 3
Source: RefSeq, a predicted model, not a curated record
CAAAAGACAGAAAUUCACUAACAAUGUCCUGCUGGAGCAGGGUUGGACUAGAUGACCUCCAGGUCCCUUCCAGCCCUGGAUUAUCCUCUGAAGCUGCAUCUAGUACCAGGUUACAGACUGACAGUAAAGAACAAUGAUGGUCCAAAGCUCUUCCAGCACACAGCAGAGCAUGCAGGUAACAAGCAAAGUGAGCAGAUGAUUCCAUCCCUAUCAUGGACUUAAUUUUUUCUCUGCUGCAGUCAUGGUCAAGAUUCAAAAGCUAGCGGAGACUAUUCCAAUUGCAUCAAGUUGAUUCCCUUUUAGAAACAUGGCUUAGU